Molecule: long non-coding RNA, 1055 nt
Organism: Humulus lupulus (European hop)
Lineage: Eukaryota; Viridiplantae; Streptophyta; Magnoliopsida; Rosales; Cannabaceae
Exons: 3
Source: RefSeq, a predicted model, not a curated record
UGCGCGAAAGUCAUAAAGAAAAAGCUUGGCACCCGGUUUGAUCCUGAAGGACAACUUCUUGUUGCACCAUGAGUAGCCCGAAAACACAGUAAAGACAGCAUUGGGGUUUGGUUGAGCCAUUGCACAUGAAUAUGAAACCACAUUUUUCUUCUUCUUCUUCUUGUAAUUUCUUCAUUUUCUUGGGAACAAGAGUUCCCAAAUCAAAUCCGAAUGAGGGCACAAAAACAAAGCAACAAACUUUUACAGUCAGUGACAGACCAAAUUACUCCAAUAAGCGAUGGGUCUACUCAAGGCAAGCGUCAAUCAUCAUGGACUUCACAACGGUGGCUGCCUAAAAACUACUGUUGCCAAACGUCUCAUUCUCUCUUAUUGUUUAUUAAUGAACAUUUCUACAAGUCUUUAUCAUCUAUAAUCAUUUUUAAUUGAUUUAAGUCUGAGAAUUUGAUGCUCCAAGUUUUUUUACUCUUUGUAAUUUAUACCAUUUAUCAUCUUUUUUCCAUCCAUACCUCCAUUCAUUAUACUUUUUUAGUUUUUUCAAUUAACUUACAACCAAAAGAUUUGGUGAUGAUGAAUCCUUCUCCUCCUCGACGCAUAGUGGGUCUUCACAGGGUCCGAUAGUGACGAUGGCUUCUUCUUCUUCUUCUUCACCUCGGCACGCUGUGGACGACGACUUGGGUUCAGGGCUCGCACUUGGUAAGUUUCUCUAUCGAAUAUGGAUUUUUUUCUUAUCUAAUGUGGUUUGUGUGAGGUCUCACUUUUGCGGAAUCGUGGGUUGGGUCUGGAUUGUGUUUUUUAUUCAAGCUAUUUCCCCAUAUUACAUGUUCAAGUUCUUGAAGAAGAGAAGGAUAAGUGGAUGAAUGUCUUUAGGUGGAAUAUUACUGUGCAUAACAGGCUCAGAGGCUAUGUUUGCUGAUCUUGGACACUUCUCAUAUGCGGCCAUUCAGAUUGCUUUCACCUUUCUGGUUUAUCCAGCACUUAUUUUGGCAUACAUGGGCGAAGCUGCUUAUUUAUCACAUCAUCACCACUCCAAACAUAGUAUCAGUUUUUAUGUCUUA